GAUCGGGGAAAGAGAAGCCGAAGGGAGAGCGGAGGAGCGAGGAACGACGAUGGAUUCAAGGACGGUAGCCAUUGCCGUAGGAGAUCGGAGCUCCAGAGAGAGAUGUGGAUAGACAGAGAGAGAGAGAGAGAGAGAGAGAGGAGGAGAGUAGUGNNNNNNNNNNNNNNNNNNNNAGAGAGAGUAGUAGAGAGAGAGAGAGAGAGAGAGAGAGAGAGAGAGAGAGGGAGAGAUUGGCUGUUAGCGAUUUCAGGAUGGCGAAUAGUGUGUGAGUGGGGAGGAGCAUUUAGAUGAGGAUCCAAAUUAAAAUAUGAGCGCAUACGGGAAGCGAGGUUACAAAGACCAAUUUAGCCUCUUCCCAGUUUGUAUGGGAUACCCGCGUACAAGAUUCUAGAUAUAAAUUUAGGGUCGGUGAGAAGUGGUUUGUUGGUUAGUUCGUCUAACUAAAUAUGCUAGAGGUUAUAUGUUUAUAUCUGUAAUAUAUAGUCGAUAAAUAUCUCAUCUGGCCCACGAUGCUACCGGAAGCCCAACAUGAGGUAGACCGAGCAGGCCUCAUCUUGAAGGUUGUAGUAGUUUGGGCCGGGCAGGAGACACACCACAGAAGACCAAAUAAACAGAUCUCAGUAGCAUAUUUGUCCCACAUCGAAUAGCAGGCAAGAUAUAAGUCAACGCGGGGCUAUAAAUACAAUGUUAAAGUCAACCAAAGAGGUAAGAAAAUCUCAUAUCAUUAAAUACUAUACCUACCAAGUAACUGACUUAAUCAUCGGAGAGAGAAAGAUCAGAAAGUCUCGAUCAAUCUCCUCUUGCAGGUAGCGAGUCAACGACGAUCAAAGGCAGAGAUCACGCCAAGAGCUUCUAUAAGGUCUACGAGAUCUUGCAGAAACAAUAUCUAACUAAUGUUGUAAGAGCAUCUUCAGUAAUGUAACUAAAACUAUAGUUAAAUUUAGCAAUAAUUAUGAGAUUUAGCAAUUGUUAUAAGAAUUUGGCUCCAACAGUUAUUGCUAAGUGUAAGUUAAGUAAUAUUUUUAACGAAUUAUAAACUGACACCUGAAAAAAAAAAUGAGGGAAAAUAUAAGUAUUCAUUUACCAAUUCAUGGCUGAGUUGACAAAUUUAUCAAUUUUGUUUAGCAAUCCUUAAAUUUAAGCAACCAUUUAGGUAUACUGUUAGAGCUCCUAUUCUUUUGUAUCAUUUAUUUUAAUAGUAUAAUAUUUCUGGGUCCGGUUCAAAGGACAUCAAUUUUGACACUAUUUAUUGGCCAUUAGAUUUUAAAACAUUCAAGGGUCUAGAUCAAUUGUAAAUAUGAUGUCAACAUAUAAUUAAUUGACGUGGCAAGUGAUGUGGUAUUUUGUCUUAUUUCAU
This 1357-nucleotide long non-coding RNA is filed under the name Fragaria vesca (wild strawberry). RNAcentral's name for it is "long non-coding RNA (FVES_LNC001589)". Lineage: Eukaryota; Viridiplantae; Streptophyta; Magnoliopsida; Rosales; Rosaceae. The record is from RNAcentral.